AUGAUUCUCCUUCAAGGUGGCCAAAAUCUUAACCAGAAAAAAAACAAAAGCUUCCAGUCUUGCCUGCUUGGUAUAUGGCAGGGUUUACUUAGGGGAAUUUGGGCUAAUUUCUACCCUGUUCGCUCACAAUGUAGUUCUUCCCAACCAACCAGUCUUCACUUCAAGAGGGCCACACUGCAACCUCAGCUCAACUCCAUAAGUCACAAUGGCUUGGCUCAAGACCAGACCCAUGGAGGCCUUAUUUUUUGUGCCUUAGUUUCUCUGAGAAGAACCAGAAGAGGAAAGAAAGGCUUUUGGGUCAUUGUCAUUGUGUAUAUUUUUGUGUGUCUUCUUGUAUGUUUAUACAGUUGUGAGUAUUUUCACAAAAUUCAAAACAGCCACAAAGAAACAGUGGCUGGACCCUAGUGCAGGUAAAUAAUCAGAGAUGGAGCAAACCAGUGUCAUCCAGUCUUUGAUACAAGUGAGCACAGCUGCAAGGGGACGCAAAUUCUGUGUAUGUUGGUAACUACCCGGCAAGAAGCAUGUGGGUAGCAAGGAAGAAGUAAAAAAAAGAAUCCUGGGAGAUAAUGCAUGAAAUGAAAGGACUAGUUAAGGAUUUAGAAAACAGCAAAAGACAGUAAUAUAUAGCUAUACAAGAAUUGAGGGUGAGCAUGCAAAACUUAUGAGGCACUGUCUUAAACACCAAUCAAUGUGGCAGAAAAAAAUUCAAAGCACAAAAACAAAACAACCCCAGAAUUAUCUUAAGGACUGACAGUGGUAAUUAGAGUCAAUUUAAUAAUCUUACAUUUCCUUACAUUAUUUUGAUAAGAUUAAAGUGUCUAUUUGCCAAAAUUCUUUAUUUGGAGAACUUUUAUCAAAAGUAAUGCUGCCAAAGGAAGUCUGAGGAGUUGGUAAUGUUGCCAUCACGUGUUUGGAAUAUUUUUAGUCUAAUAGAGUGUGAUUUUUUGGACUGGCAAUUAUAUUUUAACUUUGGUGGGGGAAAGAAUUAUAGGACCACAGUCUUUACUUCUCAUAUUUGUAAAUUACUAAUCUUUUGUUGAACGUCUUUUGACCAUUAAACUAUAAUAUUUAGAAAUGGUCAUUUUAUGUAAAAAUUGGAAAACUUUUGAUAAUAGUACAGCAGAAUAAAUGAUUUAAUAUUUUAUUUAAUAUAUUGAACUGUCAAUGACAAAUAAAAUUCUUUUUGAUUA
This is an RNA transcript of Lemur catta (Ring-tailed lemur), 1190 nucleotides long. RefSeq lists it as uncharacterized. Lineage: Eukaryota; Metazoa; Chordata; Mammalia; Primates; Lemuridae. The record is from RefSeq and is a predicted model, not a curated record. The transcript is spliced from 3 exons.